GACGAACGCUGGCGGCGUGCUUAACACAUGCAAGUCGAACGGAAAGGCCCUGCUUUUGGGGGGUGCUCGAGUGGCGAACGGGUGAGUAACACGUGAGUAACCCGCCCUUGACUUUGGGAUAACUUCAGGAAACUGGGGCUAAUACCGGAUAGGAGCUCCUGCUGCAUGGUGGGGGUUGGAAAGUUUCGGCGGUUGGGGAUGGACUCGCGGCUUAUCAGCUUGUUGGUGGGGUAGUGGCUUACCAAGGCUUUGACGGGUAGCCGGCCUGAGAGGGUGACCGGCCACAUUGGGACUGAGAUACGGCCCAGACUCCUACGGGAGGCAGCAGUGGGGAAUAUUGCACAAUGGGCGGAAGCCUGGUGCAGCAACGCCGCGUGCGGGGUGACGGCCUUCGGGUUGUAAACCGCUUUCGCCUGUGACGAAGCGUGAGUGACGGUAAUGGGUAAAGAAGCACCGGCUAACUACGUGCCAGCAGCCGCGGUGAUACGUAGGGUGCGAGCGUUGUCCGGAUUUAUUGGGCGUAAAGGGCUCGUAGGUGGUUGAUCGCGUCGGAAGUGUAAUCUUGGGGCUUAACCCUGAGCGUGCUUUCGAUACGGGUUGACUUGAGGAAGGUAGGGGAGAAUGGAAUUCCUGGUGGAGCGGUGGAAUGCGCAGAUAUCAGGAGGAACACCAGUGGCGAAGGCGGUUCUCUGGGCCUUUCCUGACGCUGAGGAGCGAAAGCGUGGGGAGCGAACGGGCUUAGAUACCCUGGUAGUCCACGCUGUAAACGGUGGGUACUAGGUGUGGGGUCCAUUCCACGGGUUCCGUGCCGUAGCUAACGCUUUAAGUACCCCGCCUGGGGAGUACGGCCGCAAGGCUAAAACUCAAAGGAAUUGACGGGGCCCCGCACAAGCGGCGGAGCAUGCGGACUAAUUCGAUGCAACGCGUAGAACCUUACCUGGGUUUGACAUGGAUCGGGAGUGCUCAGAGAUGGGUGUGCCUCUUUUGGGGUCGGUUCACAGGUGGUGCAUGCCUGUCGUCAGCUCGUGUCGUGAGAUGUUGGGUUAAGUCCCGCAACGAGCGCAACCCUUGUUCACUGUUGCCAGCACGUUAUGGUGGGGACUCAGUGGAGACCGCCGGGGUCAACUCGGAGGAAGGUGGGGAUGACGUCAAGUCCUCAUGCCCCUUAUGUCCAGGGCUUCACGCAUGCUACAAUGGCUGGUACAGAGAGUGGCGAGCCUGUGAGGGUGAGCGAAUCUCGGAAAGCCGGUCUCAGUUCGGAUCGGGGUCUGCAACUCGACCUCAUGAAGUCGGAGUCGCUAGUAAUCGCAGAUCAGCAACGCUGCGGUGAAUACGUUCCCGGG
RNAcentral lists this ribosomal RNA (1343 nucleotides) under uncultured bacterium. Its description in RNAcentral is "16S ribosomal RNA". It matches the Rfam family "Bacterial small subunit ribosomal RNA", at positions 28 to 1378 of the family's 1533-position model. The record is from RNAcentral.